UAAUGAAAUUAAUAGGCUUUAAGACUGUGCUGAGUGCUGGGGAUUUGACAGAGAACAGGAUGGACACAGUUCCUGUCAACUUACAUUUUAGAAGGGGAGACAGACUCACAGCUAAUUGCUUAAUUAGAGUAGCUAUCAGCGCUACUGGGAAAACUGAGAGUAUCCUAUGAGAGCAUAUCACAGGAGACAUGACCUAAUGGAGAGAGGAAGGCUCAGAAAUCUUCUCUAAGGAAGAGACAUUUUAUCUGAAAGCCAAAAAUGACUAUGAGUUGCUGGAUAUCCCGAGGGCAGGGAGGAGAACAAGAGAGCAUUCCAGGCAGAAGCAGCAGCUCAUGCACAGGCUUAUGGCAUAAAAGAGCAGAUGUAAUUUUUGCGGAACUGUAAGAAGCUAAGGAAGUGCAAUGAGGAAGAGGGAUGGAUCACAGGUGAUGUGGACACACGGAGGCCUUGGUACACAUUUUGGACUUUAGCCUAAGAUCAUUGGCAAACUACAGCAAGUGCAGAAUAUUGAUGGUGCUGAAUAAAAGGGGACAAUCAUAUGAAAUUUCCAGAGAAAGUUAAAAGAGCAGAGCACUGGUGAAUUUGGUCUAAAACACAUCGCAACAGGAAGGAAAUAAAGGAUUUCAGAACUGUUGUGGAAAGCGAACACGAGGAUGCCUGUUGAAGAACUGAAUAUGCUGUGAUGUGCAUCCAAGUGAUAAUGAUGGGCAAUUAUUUGCAAAAUAUUCUCCCUUAACCUCAAGGAACUUAUAGCCUAGUUGGAAGAAUCAGAAUUUAAUAGCAAUGUAAGAGUUAAAUAAUACCAGACAGAGAUUCAAAAGAUGUUGCAAGACAAAGCAUGAUUAAUUGCCAAAGAGUAGAGACCGGAGCCCAGAGAAAGAGAGCGCAGUGUGAGCUGGAAUCAUCAAGGGACAAUGGAAGGACUGCCAAACCACCAUGAGGCCUCAGCUCAGCGUUCAGACUUCGAGUCUGUAGCGCGUCAAGUCAGCACAAAAACAACAGGAGUAUCACGCUCUAAAAUCAGAUUUCUAACGUUCGAUAAACAGCCUUAAUAAACAAAAAUAUUCAUUACUCUUUCAGACUUUUGAAUAUGAGUGUUGGAAAGAGAGACAGUGUUUGGUAAAAAGAAAAGAGGCUAAUGAAUCGGAGAACUGAGUCCCAGUACCGACUGCCCCCUGUUCCUUGCGUUCCUGCCCGUUGGCUUGUUGUUAUGCCUCUCUGGGCUUUUGUCUCCUGAAGCCCAGCGAGGAAUACUUACUUCACAGGCUAUUAAGAGUUAGUGGAGUUAACCAGGCAAAGGUCUAGUUUUAUGUGGGGGUGGGUGAGAAUAUGCCAAAGAUAGGAAACAACACGCCCAAGAGCCCUAAAGAGAGAAACGGUUUUGAGCGUUGGAUGAACAAAGAGAAAGUCAGUACAUCUGCAAUUUGGUGGAUGAGUCGCUGCCUCUGGAGGGACAGGAAAGAGCCAGCGUAGGCAGGGACUUUACAGGCCACGCUGAAUGUUGUAGACUCAAUCCUAUGAACAGUUUAGAAGCCAAUGGAUUGUGUUAAAGGCACGAGGGGCUGGUGGCAGUGGGGAAGGAAGUGUUUGCAAACAUGAGGGACCGCUUAUUUUAAGG
Equus caballus (horse) is the source of this 1618-nucleotide long non-coding RNA. The record is from Ensembl. NCBI's taxonomy places the organism in Eukaryota, Metazoa, Chordata, Mammalia, Perissodactyla, Equidae.